RNAcentral lists this ribosomal RNA (429 nucleotides) under Chloroflexota bacterium. RNAcentral describes it as "Chloroflexi bacterium partial 16S ribosomal RNA". It matches the Rfam family "Bacterial small subunit ribosomal RNA", at positions 355 to 776 of the family's 1533-position model. The record is from RNAcentral. Lineage: Bacteria; Bacillati; Chloroflexota.
UGGGGAAUAUUGCACAAUGGGCGCAAGCCUGAUGCAGCCAUGCCGCGUGUGUGAAGAAGGCCUUCGGGUUGUAAAGCACUUUCAGCGGGGAGGAAGGCGAUAAGGUUAAUAACCUUGUCGAUUGACGUUACCCGCAGAAGAAGCACCGGCUAACUCUGUGCCAGCAGCCGCGGUAAUACGGAGGGUGCAAGCGUUAAUCGGAAUUACUGGGCGUAAAGCGCACGCAGGCGGUCUGUCAAGUCGGAUGUGAAAUCCCCGGGCUCAACCUGGGAACUGCAUUCGAAACUGGCAGGCUAGAGUCUUGUAGAGGGGGGUAGAAUUCCAGGUGUAGCGGUGAAAUGCGUAGAGAUCUGGAGGAAUACCGGUGGCGAAGGCGGCCCCCUGGACAAAGACUGACGCUCAGGUGCGAAAGCGUGGGGAGCAAACAGG